Molecule: long non-coding RNA, 349 nt
Filed under: Setaria viridis
Lineage: Eukaryota; Viridiplantae; Streptophyta; Magnoliopsida; Poales; Poaceae
Description: long non-coding RNA (SVIR_LNC008856)
Source: RNAcentral
GGAGAGGAAGAUAGGGGGUGGGGGCAAAGAGAGAGGACAGAAGCAGGUAUGGGGUAGUGGAUAAGGUGGAUGGGACGACAGGGUACUAAAGGUUGGGAGCUCCUUUAGUCCCGGUUGGGAGCUCCAAUCGGUACUAAAAGUCACCCAUUAGUACCGGGUGGAGCCUUAGUACCGGUACUAAAGGAGGUCACGGGGGAUCCUGGGGAACUAGUUGUUAGACCUGGUACUAAUGCUUACAUUAGUACCGGGUCAAAAACCAACCGGUACUAAGGGCUAGGACCAAUGCUCAGUUUUCCAGUAGUGUGAGGUAGUUGUUUCGCAACACAACGAUAUUUUUCUCCCUUCUCCC